GACGAACGCUGGCGGCGUGCUUAACACAUGCAAGUCGAACGAUGAAGCCUAGCUUGUGAGGUGGUUUCGUGGCGAACGGGUGAGUAAUACGUGAGUAACCUACCUUUAACUCUGGGAUAAGCCUGGGAAACUGGGUCUAAUACCGGAUACGAACAAUCUCCGCAUGGGGUGUUGGUGGGAAGCGUUAUGUAGUGGUUAUAGAUGUGCUCACGGCCUAUCAGCUUGUUGGUGAGGUAACGGCUCACCAAGUCGACGACGGGUAGCCGGCCUGGGAGGGUGACCGGCCACACUGGGACUGAGAGACGGCCCAGACUCCUACGGGAGGCAGCAGUGGGGAAUAUUGCACAAUGGGCGCAAGCCUGAUGCAGCGACGCCGCGUGAGGGAUGCCGGCCUUCGGGUUGUAAACCUCUGUUAGCAGAGAAGAAGAGAAAUUGACGGUACCUGCAGAGAAAGCGCCGGCUAACUACGUG
Molecule: ribosomal RNA, 471 nt
Filed under: uncultured bacterium
Lineage: Bacteria
Description: partial 16S ribosomal RNA
Rfam family: Bacterial small subunit ribosomal RNA
Source: RNAcentral